Molecule: ribosomal RNA, 805 nt
Filed under: Escherichia coli
Lineage: Bacteria; Pseudomonadati; Pseudomonadota; Gammaproteobacteria; Enterobacterales; Enterobacteriaceae
Description: partial 23S ribosomal RNA
Rfam family: Bacterial large subunit ribosomal RNA
Source: RNAcentral
GGGACACGUGGUAUCCUGUCUGAAUAUGGGGGGACCAUCCUCCAAGGCUAAAUACUCCUGACUGACCGAUAGUGAACCAGUACCGUGAGGGAAAGGCGAAAAGAACCCCGGCGAGGGGAGUGAAAAAGAACCUGAAACCGUGUACGUACAAGCAGUGGGAGCACGCUUAGGCGUGUGACUGCGUACCUUUUGUAUAAUGGGUCAGCGACUUAUAUUCUGUAGCAAGGUUAACCGAAUAGGGGAGCCGAAGGGAAACCGAGUCUUAACUGGGCGUUAAGUUGCAGGGUAUAGACCCGAAACCCGGUGAUCUAGCCAUGGGCAGGUUGAAGGUUGGGUAACACUAACUGGAGGACCGAACCGACUAAUGUUGAAAAAUUAGCGGAUGACUUGUGGCUGGGGGUGAAAGGCCAAUCAAACCGGGAGAUAGCUGGUUCUCCCCGAAAGCUAUUUAGGUAGCGCCUCGUGAAUUCAUCUCCGGGGGUAGAGCACUGUUUCGGCAAGGGGGUCAUCCCGACUUACCAACCCGAUGCAAACUGCGAAUACCGGAGAAUGUUAUCACGGGAGACACACGGCGGGUGCUAACGUCCGUCGUGAAGAGGGAAACAACCCAGACCGCCAGCUAAGGUCCCAAAGUCAUGGUUAAGUGGGAAACGAUGUGGGAAGGCCCAGACAGCCAGGAUGUUGGCUUAGAAGCAGCCAUCAUUUAAAGAAAGCGUAAUAGCUCACUGGUCGAGUCGGCCUGCGCGGAAGAUGUAACGGGGCUAAACCAUGCACCGAAGCUGCGGCAGCGACGCUGAUGCGUUGU